Long non-coding RNA from Drosophila serrata, 1113 nucleotides. RefSeq lists it as uncharacterized. NCBI's taxonomy places the organism in Eukaryota, Metazoa, Arthropoda, Insecta, Diptera, Drosophilidae. The record is from RefSeq and is a predicted model, not a curated record.
CCUUAAGUCACUGAUAUUACACAAAGUCGUCACAGGAGCAGCACACUAGGCAAUCCCUGCAACAGGAGCUCGAGAGUGGGAAUGAUCCUCGCGUCGGGGGUUAAGGCUUAACGACGGCGUUACGAGAGCAACACGACGGCGUAACGGGAGCAACACGACGCGAUCCAAGCAAGAAGCAACACCAAUCGGCGGCAGCGGCGAGCAGCAACUGAAAGCGAAAGCCAGGCGGACGCACGAGCCAGGCUUCUGCCAAGCGAGCGACUUUUAGAAUGGACGUGCAACUGGACGACGUUCCAGCAGAUACGUGUGUGUUUGUGCGAGUGCGACGCGUAUCUUUGCAUCUGUAUCUGCAUCCGACUCAUAAAAUGGCUGCUGCUGCUGCUGCUGCCGCUGCCGCUGCUCCGUGAUAUUCUAAUUUGGUUUUCGCGACUCAUUCGAGCUUCUGUGUACUUAUUCGAUAAGGGCUGCAAAUAAUUCAGGUGGUGCGGUGGCGACGUCUUCAUUUUUUAAUUUCAACGCCCGUGUUUCGUAACCAAUCAAACUUGUGUUUAUGUGCCGCUACCAUGGAACGUGUCUAUUUCCGAAUUCCCGGAGUCGCAGUGCACGGCACAUACCAUCCGAUCCGCUUUUGUUUCGGACUGCAAUCGGAAUUGUUGCUUCAAGUUUUGGCAGCAACUCAUCAUCGCGUAAUGGGUCAAGCACCGACGGAUUGGCCAGGAAGUGAGUGCGUGAUUGGAGCGGCGUAGCCAAUUCAACGAGUAUUCAAGAGCUCUAAGCGGUCAAUCCGGCUCAAGGUCGAACCCAACACUUUGCUGGAUCUGUGGAUACUUUGGUUACUUUCAACAAUGUAUUGUUAUCGUGUCGUUGAACCACCGCCACCUCCCAUCCUCCCAAGCCCCAAGUCAAGCGAUUGCAGCGCCUUGAAAUCGAAAUUGAAGUUAAAGUUUGAAGUUGGUGCUGAAGCUGUGAAGUCGCUCCGCCAAAGGGCAAUCUGACGGAUACUUUGUAGAUCAACAGCUGUGUGACUCGUGUCUUGUUUUCCUAAAUGCCGCUAUUUUUAUGCUGCACGGAAAGAAAUAAAUAAUAGCUAGAAAGAAAGCCAAGGAAGAUUGA